GAGUUUGAUCCUGGCUCAGAUUGAACGCUGGCGGCAUGCCUUACACAUGCAAGUCGAACGGCAGCAUGAUCUAGCUUGCUAGAUUGAUGGCGAGUGGCGAACGGGUGAGUAAUACAUCGGAACGUGCCCUGUAGUGGGGAUAACUAGUCGAAAGAUUAGCUAAUACCGCAUACGACCUGAGGGUGAAAGUGGGGGACCGCAAGGCCUCAUGCUAUAGGAGCGGCCGAUGUCUGAUUAGCUAGUUGGUGGGUAAAGGCCCGACCAAGGCGACGAUCAGUAGCUGGUCUGAGAGGACGAUCAGCCACACUGGGACUGAGACACGGCCCAGACUCCUACGGGAGGCAGCAGUGGGGAAUUUUGGACAAUGGGCGAAAGCCUGAUCCAGCAAUGCCGCGUGUGUGAAGAAGGCCUCGGUUGGUAAGU
RNAcentral lists this ribosomal RNA (423 nucleotides) under uncultured microorganism. Its description in RNAcentral is "bacterial SSU rRNA". It matches the Rfam family "Bacterial small subunit ribosomal RNA", at positions 9 to 431 of the family's 1533-position model. The record is from RNAcentral.